Ribosomal RNA from Elaeis guineensis (African oil palm), 119 nucleotides. Lineage: Eukaryota; Viridiplantae; Streptophyta; Magnoliopsida; Arecales; Arecaceae. The record is from RefSeq and is a predicted model, not a curated record.
UGAUGUGAUCAUACCAGCACUAAUGCACCGAAUCCCAUCAGAACUUCGCAGUUAAACAUGCUUGGGCGAGAGUAGUACUAGGAUGGGAGACCCCGUGGGAGAUCCUCAUAUUGCAUCCU